UUUGCAGCGUACAAAUUAAUUGCCCCCUGCAAAAGAGUUUUUUGCAGCGUACAUUGUAAAAGCCCCCUGCAAUAGCCCGUUACUUUGCAGCGUACAUGGUAAAAGCCCCCUACAAUAGCAUGUUGUAAAUUUUUUUCGCUGCCACGUUUAAUUCAGACCAAAUAUAUCCUCUCAAAAAUCUAUACCAACUUCGAAUUUCAUAGCCCGCGCUCAGUUCUCCCUUCUUCUUCUCUCUGCUUUCCCUGCGUCUCGCCCGUCGCCGGUGGUUCUCGCCAGUCGCCGGUGGGUCUAUUUACCCGCCUCCUCGCCGGUGGUUCCCUGCUCGAAAAACCACCGCUGAAAUUACUCCCUGCUCGAAAAACUACCGCUGAAAUCAGGAGGUACGGCAAGCUACCUUGCUCGGCCGGUGGUUCCAAGGAAUAUGGUUGGCUCGCGAACAACGGUUCUCCAUCAAUCCUCGCCGCGACAAUGUUGUCACCAUUCAUGUUCAGGGAAAAGAUCUAAAAUCUGGAGCAACCUCACAUGGAAGUCUGCAUUUGGUAGAUCUUGCUGGUAGUGAAAUAGUUGACAGGUCUGAAGCAACUGGAGAUAGGUUGAGGGAAGCAUAGCAUAUCAAUAAAUCACUAUCAGCUUUAGGGGAUGUUAUCUUUUCACUUUCUCAGAAAAACCCCCAUGUACCUUACAGAAAUAGCAAGCUUACGCAGGUUCUUCAAGCGUCUCUAGGUGGUCGAGCAAAGACACUUAUGUUUGUUCAGGUUAAUCCUGAUGUUAGUUCGUACUCUGAAUCAUUAAGCACUUUAAAGUUUGCUGAAAGGGUGUCCGCUGUUGAGCUGGGUGCUGCUCGGAGUAGCAAAGAGGGCAGAGAUGUCAGAGAAUUAAUGGAUCAGUGACUGCUUUCACUGCUGAUUCUGAGCGGCUAUUCAGGAUGCCUGCUGCAGACCUCUUCCGCAUCAAACACACAGAUUUUCUCCAAGCAUUGGUACUAUAAUAUAUGCUUUGCUUCAGGAAGUGAUUACACUUAUUGGAGCAACUUUAAUCGACAGAGUAGGAAGAAAGCCAAUGCUCUUGGUAUAUACUCCGAGGAAUGCGCCUUAUGCUAGUGAGGAAUUGAUGUGGUUCGUGAGCAAUUGGCUAACUUUUUUACCAGCAAGUAUUUAUUAUUGGCCUGAGCGCGCUUGGUCGAGUUGUUUGAUAUUAAAAUGUAUGCGUACGUUGAAAUUGGAACGAAUAAAUAUUUAAAUGUAGUACUUGCACUUUGGAUUUGGGAUAUAUUAAUAUACAAAACAACAGUUAUU
Spinacia oleracea (spinach) is the source of this 1295-nucleotide long non-coding RNA. RefSeq lists it as uncharacterized. NCBI's taxonomy places the organism in Eukaryota, Viridiplantae, Streptophyta, Magnoliopsida, Caryophyllales, Amaranthaceae. The record is from RefSeq and is a predicted model, not a curated record. The transcript is spliced from 7 exons.